CGCCUUGAAACCGAAGAUCCCGACCAGCACGUUGGGCAGCGCGGGAUUGAAGAUCUGAAACAGGCCGAAAACCGCGGCCAGGAUGAG
Molecule: unclassified non-coding RNA, 87 nt
Filed under: fungal sp.
Lineage: Eukaryota; Fungi
Description: partial internal transcribed spacer region
Source: RNAcentral